CCGGGACUCGCCCCCGAGGCGGAUGCGCCGGCCGGACCAGCGGAUUCGCGGGUCGGGGUCACGCUGGUCACUCUGUCCCUGAUCUAACCCAGGGAUGCCUAGUGAUUCAACAGUGUACGUCCCAGAAGCGAAACUAACAAGAGCACGUAAGAGAAAACAGAGGAUCCCAAAAUGAAGACACUUGCUCAAGUUCACACAGCUGUUAAGUGGAUGACAAGGGGCCAGACUUCUAAGGUGCAGAUUGUCCCUGUAGAAUGGGAAGAAGACAUGAGUGGACAAAACGACUUAGGUAUUAUAGUCACAUUUCCUUCUAGGAGCUGGGCCUUCAUUUCCCAUCAGUGGUAUUUAUCAGCCUCAGUGAGGAACUGGACAUUUCAAGCAGAGACUGGAUUAAUGCUGGACAAAGAUCUUGUACAAGGGAUUUCGGCAUUACGUGGGCAGUUUGAAUAGAAGAUGAAUGACUUCUCAGAUCUAUUCACCAUUAUAAAUGUGGCUCUAGGCACUGGGGAUACAGCUAUGAAUGACACAUCCAUGGGACAAAUACCUAGAAUUGCUGGGUUGGAGGGGCUACUCAGCAAGGAUUCUGCCUUCGUAAAUUUCCAGAAGAGCAGCAGGCACCAAGUUCUACUUUCAUGGAUAUUUCCAGACUCUAGGAGAAGCCUAUCAAGGUCUUUCGGGAGACAUCUUACUAUGCUCCACUUGGUUUGCAACCCCAGUAGGAGACUUCAGAUUGUAUAGUUCAGUGAGCAUCCACCCAAGGGUGCAGUGCCAGUUUCUUCUUUUCCAGAUACUCUCAGUCUCUAAAAGUGAUUAUCUUGCCACCCUGCCGAUCUCUUGGCUUCAUGAGGAAUGAGGAAGCAAGCCUCUAGAAAUAUCUUUCACCAAGGACCCACGAGAACACUCGCCCUUGGAAACCAGCUGCUGUGCACUAAGAAACCCAAGUCACAUGGAUGGCCACGUGUUGGCACUCUGGUUGAGAGCCCCACCUGGGCUCCUAGCUGACAGUCAGCAUCACCUAGCAGCCAUGAGACAAAGCCCACUCUUCUCAUCUAGCGAGUUGCCUUCAUAUCUGUGAGAGAGGCCCACGUGAACUGAAUUUCAUGGAUUGCGGUGGGAAUUAAAGCUGAGUCCUGACUCUUAGUUCAUGAAAAAUUAUCUGUGCAUGGUAAUAACAUAAUUCUGCUGCAUCUUUGUCAAAAGUGAUCAAUAUUUUUGAGUUCUUGGUGAUCUGUGAUAGUGGAAAACUAUACAUUUUGAUUAAAAAUUUUGAAAAUCUAGAUUUUUCAUAAUAAAU
This 1294-nucleotide long non-coding RNA is filed under the name Equus asinus (donkey). Its description in RNAcentral is "lncRNA (ENSEASG00005025398.1)". Lineage: Eukaryota; Metazoa; Chordata; Mammalia; Perissodactyla; Equidae. The record is from RNAcentral.